RNAcentral lists this ribosomal RNA (431 nucleotides) under uncultured bacterium. Its description in RNAcentral is "bacterial SSU rRNA". It matches the Rfam family "Bacterial small subunit ribosomal RNA", at positions 355 to 776 of the family's 1533-position model. The record is from RNAcentral.
UGGGGAAUCUUGCGCAAUGGGCGAAAGCCUGACGCAGCGACGCCGCGUGGGGGAGGAAGCCUUUCGGGGUGUAAACCUCUGUCAGGGGGGAAGAAUGGGCGCGGGAGGAAAUGCCUGCGUUUUGACGGUACCUCCAAAGGAAGCACCGGCUAACUCUGUGCCAGCAGCCGCGGUAAUACAGAGGGUGCGAGCGUUGUUCGGAAUUACUGGGCGUAAAGCGCGCGCAGGCGGCUCUUUAAGUCUACCCGUGAAAUGCCGGAGCUCAACUCCGUGCACGCCGGGGGAUACUGGAGAGCUGGAGACGAGUAGAGGCAAGCGGAAUUCCGGGUGUAGCGGUGGAAUGCGUAGAGAUCCGGAAGAACACCGGAGGCGAAGGCGGCUUGCUGGGCUUGGUCUGACGCUGAGGCGCGAAAGCGUGGGGAGCGAACAGG